This is a small nuclear RNA of Sciurus vulgaris (Eurasian red squirrel), 106 nucleotides long. NCBI's taxonomy places the organism in Eukaryota, Metazoa, Chordata, Mammalia, Rodentia, Sciuridae. The record is from Ensembl.
GUGCUUGCGUGGCAGCACGUACACUAAAACUGGAACAAUACAGAGAAAAUUAGCACAGGCCCCGUGUAAGGGUGACAUGCAAAUCCGUGAAGUGUUCCACAUUAAA